RNAcentral lists this ribosomal RNA (367 nucleotides) under uncultured bacterium. RNAcentral's name for it is "partial 16S ribosomal RNA". It matches the Rfam family "Bacterial small subunit ribosomal RNA", at positions 338 to 697 of the family's 1533-position model. The record is from RNAcentral.
CCUACGGGAGGCAGCAGUGGGGAAUAUUGCGCAAUGGGCGAAAGCCUGACGCAGCGACGCCGCGUGAGGGAUGAAUGUCUUCGGAUCGGAAACCUCUGUCAGCAGGGAAGAACGGUCACUGUGCUAAUCAGCAGUGAAUUGACGGUACCUGCAAAGGAAGCACAGGCUAACUCCGUGCCAGCAGCCGCGGUAGUACGGAGGGGGCGAGCGUGAAUUGGAAUUACUUGGCGUAAAGCGCUCGUAGGCGGUAUGUCAAGUCAAGGGUGAAAUCCCGGCGCUCAACGUGGGAACUGCCUUUGAAACUGGCAAACUGGAGUGUGUGAGAGGAUAGUGGAAUUCGAGGAGUAGGAGUGAAAUCCGUAGAUAU